Molecule: ribosomal RNA, 397 nt
Filed under: uncultured bacterium
Lineage: Bacteria
Description: partial 16S ribosomal RNA
Rfam family: Bacterial small subunit ribosomal RNA
Source: RNAcentral
AUACGUAGGGGGCGAGCGUUGUCCGGAAUGAUUGGGCGUAAAGGGCGCGUAGGCGGCCCGGUAAGUCUGGAGUGAAAGUCCUGCUUUUAAGGUGGGAAUUGCUCUGGAUACUGUCGGGCUUGAGUGCAGGAGAGGUAAGUGGAAUUCCCAGUGUAGCGGUGAAAUGCGUAGAGAUUGGGAGGAACACCAGUGGCGAAGGCGCCUUACUGGACUGUAACUGACGCUGAGGCGCGAAAGUGUGGGGAGAAAACAGGAUUAUAUACCCUUGUAGUCCACACGGUGAACGAUGAAUGCUAGGUGUAGGGGGUAUAGACCCCUUCUGUGCCGCAGUUAACACAAUAAGCAGUCCGCCUGGGGAGUACGGCCGCAAGGUUGAAACUCUAAUGAAUUGACGGGG